CACGUAGGGUGCGAGCGUUGUCCGGAAUUAUUGGCGUAAAGAGCUCGUAGGCGGUGUGUCGUGUCGGCCGUGAAACCUGACAGCUUAACUGUGGGCUUGCGGUCGAUACGGGCAUCACUGGAGUUCGGCAGGGGAGACUGGAAUUCCUGGUGUAGCGGUGAAAUGCGUAGAUAUCGGAGGAAUACCGGUGGCGAAGGCGGCGAAUC
This 206-nucleotide ribosomal RNA is filed under the name uncultured bacterium. RNAcentral describes it as "partial 16S ribosomal RNA". It matches the Rfam family "Bacterial small subunit ribosomal RNA", at positions 524 to 729 of the family's 1533-position model. The record is from RNAcentral.